This is a long non-coding RNA of Herpailurus yagouaroundi (jaguarundi), 431 nucleotides long. RefSeq lists it as uncharacterized. Lineage: Eukaryota; Metazoa; Chordata; Mammalia; Carnivora; Felidae. The record is from RefSeq and is a predicted model, not a curated record. The transcript has 2 exons.
CAUCCCGGCCAGUCUUGGAUACAGAAAAAUAAUGGACUUCUAUAAGAGUUGCAACACCGCGUCGUUUCCUAGACAACAAACAGUGCAGGCGUCAUCCCUGGAAACACCCAUAAAAACGCAAGUCAAAUGACCACACCUGUAUUUCAAGGUUGCAAAGACGAGGGCCAUGAAAUGGCACUACCAUGUUAAUGGGUAUGAUUCAUUGUAUGACACACUGCUUUCCUACAGAUGAUGACAAUUGACACCAUCCCCGAGGAAUGUUAGCAUGGACAAAGUUUCCACGCAGUCUGGCCACUAAUUGCGAUCUGCAAAUGUUUAGAAACUUAAUUGUUUUAUUCUUUCUAAAACUGACCUUUUUUAUCUGUUAAUACUCUAUGCAUAUGUUGACUUUAAACAUUGCAAAAAGAUUAAAAACCAAAAAAUGAACAGCG